RNAcentral lists this ribosomal RNA (255 nucleotides) under Staphylococcus intermedius. RNAcentral describes it as "partial 23S ribosomal RNA". It matches the Rfam family "Bacterial large subunit ribosomal RNA", at positions 257 to 507 of the family's 2925-position model. Lineage: Bacteria; Bacillati; Bacillota; Bacilli; Caryophanales; Staphylococcaceae. The record is from RNAcentral.
AACGGGAAAAGCCCAAACCAAUAAGCUUGCUUAUUGGGGUUGUAGGACACUCUGUACGGAGUUACAAAAGAAUUUGUUAGACGAAUAACCUGGAAAGGUUAAUCAUAGAAGGUAACAAUCCUGUAGUUGAAAAUAAAUUCUCUCUUGAGUGGAUCCUGAGUACGGCGGAGCACGUGAAAUUCCGUCGGAAUCUGGGAGGACCAUCUCCUAAGGCUAAAUACUCUCUAGUGACCGAUAGUGAACCAGUACCGUGAG